CGAAAUAUAACGCAGUCUGGUAGCGUGCCUGAUUUGGGAUCAGGAAGUCAUAUGUUCAAAUCAUAUUAUUUCGA
This 74-nucleotide transfer RNA is filed under the name Asterionella formosa. Its description in RNAcentral is "tRNA-Pro". It matches the Rfam family "tRNA". From Rfam's summary of the family: Transfer RNA (tRNA) molecules are approximately 80 nucleotides in length. Their secondary structure includes four short double-helical elements and three loops (D, anti-codon, and T loops). Lineage: Eukaryota; Bacillariophyta; Fragilariophyceae; Tabellariales; Tabellariaceae. The record is from RNAcentral.